AUUGAACGCUGGCGGCAGGCCUAACACAUGCAAGUCGAGCGGAUGAAGGGAGCUUGCUCCUGGAUUCAGCGGCGGACGGGUGAGUAAUGCCUAGGAAUCUGCCUGGUAGUGGGGGAUAACGUCCGGAAACGGGCGCUAAUACCGCAUCCGUCCUGAGGGAGAAAGUGGGGGAUCUUCGGACCUCACGCUAUCAGAUGAUCCUAGGUCGGAUUAGCUAGUUGGUGGGGUAAAGGCCUACCAAGGCGACGAUCCGUAACUGGUCUGAGAGGAUGAUCAGUCACACUGGAACUGAGACACGGUCCAGACUCCUACGGGAGGCAGCAGUGGGGAAUAUUGGACAAAGGGCGAAAGCCUGAUCCAGCCAUGCCGCGUGUGUGAAGAAGGUCUUCGGAUUGUAAAGCACUUUAAGUUGGGAGGAAGGGCAGUAAGUUAAUACCUUGCUGUUUUGACGUUACCAACAGAAUAAGCACCGGCUAACUUCGUG
Molecule: ribosomal RNA, 484 nt
Filed under: uncultured bacterium
Lineage: Bacteria
Description: partial 16S ribosomal RNA
Rfam family: Bacterial small subunit ribosomal RNA
Source: RNAcentral